RNAcentral lists this unclassified non-coding RNA (296 nucleotides) under uncultured fungus. RNAcentral describes it as "sequence contains ITS1". Lineage: Eukaryota; Fungi. The record is from RNAcentral.
AAGGACUACUCGGGUUUCUAAUCCUGUUUGCUCCCCACGCUUUCGCGUCUCAGCGUCAGUCACCGUCCAGAAGGCCGCCUUCGCCGCUGGUAUUCCUCCCGAUAUCUACGGAUUUCACCCCUACACCGGGAAUUCUGCCUUCCUCUCCGGGACUCUAGCGAGACAGUAUCAACUGCAAUUCCGGGGUUGGGCCCCGGGCUUUCACAGCCGACUUGCCAAGCCGCCUACACGCGCUUUACGCCCAAUGAUUCCGAACAACGCUCGCACCCUCCGUAUUACCGCGGCGGCUGGCACAA